GAAGUCGACUGCCGGCUCAGACCAGCUUGUCGUCUACGCGCAGCAGAUAGCCGAUCGCUCAUCUCAAAUAAACUUCUUAUACGGUCUCGAUGUGAGUGAGUGUUCGCACUUUGGUUUUAAAUACGUGGUGCCCGGGUGAUGCAGCCGAGUGACGGAGAUUCGUUUAGACGUCAGAUGCUAAGUUCUUUUGUGAGUUGAUUAGAGCUAUGCGCCGGCUAUCGGGUGCUGUCUACUGGAGUCUACUUCUCAUUCAUCUGUCACACAUAUGGGCGACGCACAUUGUUAUUUCAGAGCCGCAAUGCACUCACGAAUUUUCUAGCACGGAGGCAAAAACUGGUAACUUCUCUUCCCCUAAAGGGACGGACGGCACUUACCCUAACUACGCUGACUGCUAUUAUCGGUUUCACGGACGACCGCACGAAACGAUCCAGCUAUAUUUUCACACGUUUGAUCUGGAAGAGCCAGCAAAAGCAGGG
This is a long non-coding RNA of Priapulus caudatus, 476 nucleotides long. RefSeq lists it as uncharacterized. The record is from RefSeq and is a predicted model, not a curated record. The transcript is spliced from 3 exons. NCBI's taxonomy places the organism in Eukaryota, Metazoa, Priapulida, Priapulimorpha, Priapulimorphida, Priapulidae.